Molecule: transfer RNA, 71 nt
Filed under: archaeon
Lineage: Archaea
Description: tRNA-Trp
Rfam family: tRNA
About the family: Transfer RNA (tRNA) molecules are approximately 80 nucleotides in length.
Source: RNAcentral
GGGUGCGUAGGCUAAUGGUAAACUGGACGGCUCCAGACCGUCAUUUGAGGGUUCGAUCCCCUCCGUGCCCA